This is a long non-coding RNA of Andrographis paniculata, 247 nucleotides long. RefSeq lists it as uncharacterized. The transcript is spliced from 3 exons. The record is from RefSeq and is a predicted model, not a curated record. Lineage: Eukaryota; Viridiplantae; Streptophyta; Magnoliopsida; Lamiales; Acanthaceae.
UCCCGACCUGAAAACCUUCCGACUUGAGGUCUUUCCGUCUUGAGGACCUCCCGACCUGAAAACCUUCCGACUUGAGGUCUUUCCGUCUUGAGGACCUCCCGACCUGAAAACCUUCCGACUUGAGGUCUUUCCGUCUUGAGGACCUCCCGACCUGAAAACCUUCCGACUUGAGGUCUUUCCGUCUUGAGGACCUCCCGACCUGAAAACCUUCCGACUUGAGGUCUUUCCGUCUUGAGGACCUCCCGAC